GACGAACGCUGGCGGCGUGCUUAACACAUGCAAGUCGAACGAUGAAGAAAAGAAUCGAAGCUUCGGCAGAAAUUCAUUUCGGAUUAGUGGCAGACGGGUGAGUAACGCGUGAGCAACCUACCUCUUACAAAGGGAUAGCCUCGGGAAACCGGGAUUAAUACCAUAUAACAUUGCGACGAAGCAUUUCGAUGCAAUCAAAGCUACGGCGGUAAGAGAUGGGCUCGCGUCCCAUUAACCGGAUGGUGAGGUAACGGCUCACCAUAGUGACGAUGGGUAACCGGCCUGAGAGGGUGAACGGUCACACUGGAACUGAGACACGGUCCAGACUCCUACGGGAGGCAGCAGUAGGGAAUAUUGCACAAUGGAGGGAACUCUGAUGCAGCGACGCCGCGUGAGUGAUGAAGGAAUUCGUUUCGUAAAACUCUGUUCUAUGGGAAGAAAAGGACUGUACCAUAGGAGAAAGCUCCGGCUAAAUACGUG
This 480-nucleotide ribosomal RNA is filed under the name uncultured bacterium. RNAcentral's name for it is "partial 16S ribosomal RNA". It matches the Rfam family "Bacterial small subunit ribosomal RNA", at positions 28 to 507 of the family's 1533-position model. The record is from RNAcentral.